UUCAAGUCAAAAGGCAACUAAAAUAUAUUUUAUUUUUUAAUUUUUUGAAGAUAUUUCCGGCAGUUAUUUUAUCAAACCAUCGGUAAGUAUUAAUAUUUCCCAGCCUGCCCUAAUUUAUUUCGUGGCGCCUUCAUCACUUGUUUUCCAUCUUCCGUCCACUCUGCACUUUCACGUCUCUUCCGAUACUACUUCUCUCUUCUCUUUCUUCUAUUUUCUUUUUGGUUUUGUAAAUCCUAAGGUCAGGAGGAGCAUAACAGCCUGAGGAAGCAUUCAAUGAUUCAAAGAGAAACAAAAUAAGAGUAUUAAAAAGGGGAAGAUGGAAUCAGAGGAUGCUGAUCAUGAUUUUAGUGUUUCGAGGAUCCAAAUUGGGGCUUUAAAUGAAACCUGAAAAAGGGGCGGAAGAAGGAAGAAUAGAGACAUCCAAUCAAGCAUGUUGAGAAACCUAAGAGUGAAAGAGAGGGCUGAGAGAGUGACGGGGUUCGGUGGUAGUAUGUGUUACUUGUGAAGAGGAAUCAAAAUUUAGGUUUCUCUUUUAAGUAUUACAAUCUGAAUUGUGACUCUUUAUUAGCUCGUUCUCUCAUUUGGAAAGCAAGCUCGUUAUGCAAAUGAGUCAGAGUCUCCUUUGCGAACAAGACAAUCAUCUGAUGGAAGUAAUCUUUAGGAAGUUUAUGAUAUUGUUUUAGGAUAAAACUAUACCUAGUUUAUUAUGAAUUGGGUAACAUUUCUUUCUUUGUAACUAUUUUUGCAAUGAGAUUACAUUGACUUCUAGCCUAUC
This is a long non-coding RNA of Vigna radiata var. radiata (mung bean), 775 nucleotides long. RefSeq lists it as uncharacterized. The record is from RefSeq and is a predicted model, not a curated record. NCBI's taxonomy places the organism in Eukaryota, Viridiplantae, Streptophyta, Magnoliopsida, Fabales, Fabaceae. The transcript has 3 exons.